Molecule: ribosomal RNA, 305 nt
Filed under: uncultured bacterium
Lineage: Bacteria
Description: bacterial SSU rRNA
Rfam family: Bacterial small subunit ribosomal RNA
Source: RNAcentral
UUUCCCUACGGGGGGCAGCAGUGGGGAAUAUUGCGCAAUGGGCGAAAGCCUGACGCAGCGACGCCGCGUGAGGGAUGAAGGUCUUCGGAUCGUAAACCUCUGUCCGCAGGGAAGCACGGUCACUGUGCUAAUCAGCAGUGAAUUGACGGUACCUGCAAAGGAAGCACCGGCUAACUCCGUGCCAGCAGCCGCGGUAAUACGGCGGGUGCGAGCGUUCAUCGGAAUUACUGGGCGUACAGCGCUCGUAGGCGGUAUGUCACGUCAAGGGUGAAAUCCCCGCGCUCAACGUGGGUACUGCCUUUGAA